AGAGUUUGAUUCUGGCUCAGAACGAACGCUGGCGGCGUGGAUAAGACAUGCAAGUCGGACGGGGCAAUCGUUGUAGCAAUACGGCGGUUGUUCAGUGGCGAACGGGUGCGUAACACGUGGGCAAUCUGCCGGGAAGUGGGGGAUAGCUCGCCGAAAGGCGAAUUAAUACCGCAUGUGGCCAGGGAGGACAUCCUCCUGACGCCUAAGCCGGGGUCAAACCUGGCGCUUCCUGAUGAGCCCGCGGCCUAUCAGCUAGUUGGUGGGGUCACGGCCCACCAAGGCGAUGACGGGUAGCUGGUCUGAGAGGACGACCAGCCACACUGGGACUGAGACACGGCCCAGACACCUACGGGUGGCAGCAGUCGAGAAUUUUUCUCAAUGGGGGAAACCCUGAAGGAGCGACGCCGCGUGGAGGAUGAAGGUCUUCGGAUUGUAAACUCCUGUCAUUAGAGAACAAGUGCCGGCAUUUAACUGGUGCCGGCUUGAUAGUAUCUGAAGAGGAAGAGACGGCUAACUCUGUGCCAGCAGCCGCGGUAAUACAGAGGUCUCAAGCGUUGUUCGGAUUCAUUGGGCGUAAAGGGUGCGUAGGCGGCGCCGUAAGUCAGGUGUGAAAUCCCGGGGCUCAACCCCGGAGCGGCACUUGAUACUGCGGUGCUUGAGGACUGGAGAGGAGACUGGAAUUCCCGGUGUAGCAGUGAAAUGCGUAGAUAUCGGGAGGAAGGCCAGUGGCGAAGGCGGGUCUCUGGACAGUUCCUGACGCUGAGGCACGAAGGCCAGGGGGGCAAACGGGAUUAGAUACCCCGGUAGUCCUGGCAGUAAACGGUGCACGUUUGGUGUGGGAGGAUUCGACCCCUUCCGUGCCGGAACUAACGCGUUAAACGUGCCGCCUGGGGAGUACGGUCGCAAGAUUAAAACUCAAAGAAAUUGACGGGGGCCCGCACAAGCGGUGGAGUAUGUGGCUUAAUUCGAUGCAACGCGAAGAACCUUACCAGGCCUUGACAUGCUGGGAUUAGCUGGGUGAAAGCCCGGUGAUUGCCCGAAAGGGUGUAACCAGCACAGGUGCUGCAUGGCUGUCGUCAGCUCGUGUCGUGAGAUGUUGGGUUAAGUCCCGCAACGAGCGCAACCCCUGUGAACUGUUGCCACCGGCCCGAGAGGGUCGAGCACUCUGUUCAGACUGCCCCUUCAAAGGGGGAGGAAGGUGGGGACGACGUCAAGUCAGGAUGGCCCUUACGGCCUGGGCUGCACACGUACUACAAUGCCCGGUACAGAAUGAUCCUAAACCGCGAGGUGGAGGAAAUCUCUAAAACCGGGCCCAGUUCGGAUUGGAGGCUGCAACUCGCCUCCAUGAAGCCGGAAUCGCUAAUAAUGGCGCAUCAGCUACGGCGCCGUGAAUACGUUCCCGGGCCUUGUACACACCGCCCGUCACAUCAUGGGAGUCGUUUGUACCCGAAGUCGGCGCGCCAACCGCAAGGAGGCAGCCGCCUAAGGUAUGAGCGGCGACUGGGAUGAAGUCGUAACAAGGUA
This 1524-nucleotide ribosomal RNA is filed under the name metagenome. RNAcentral's name for it is "bacterial SSU rRNA". It matches the Rfam family "Bacterial small subunit ribosomal RNA". The record is from RNAcentral.